UGAGGAAUAUUGGUCAAUGGGCGUAAGCCUGAACCAGCCAAGUAGCGUGAGGGAAGACUGCCCUAUGGGUUGUAAACCUCUUUUGUGCGGGGAUAAAGUGAGGGACGUGUCCCUUAUUGCAGGUACCGCACGAAUAAGGACCGGCUAAUUCCGUGCCAGCAGCCGCGGUAAUACGGAAGGUCCGGGCGUUAUCCGGAUUUAUUGGGUUUAAAGGGAGCGCAGGCCGUCCUUUAAGCGUGCUGUGAAAUGCCGCGGCUCAACCGUGGCACUGCAGCGCGAACUGGAGGACUUGAGUACGCACGAGGUAGGCGGAAUUCGUGGUGUAGCGGUGAAAUGCUUAGAUAUCACGAAGAACUCCGAUUGCGAAGGCAGCUUACCGGAGCGCAACUGACGCUGAGGCUCGAAAGCGCGGGUAUCGAACAGGAUUAGAUACCCUGGUAGUCCGCGCGGUAAACGAUGGAUGCCCGCCCGUUGGGAUUUGGAUUUCAGCGGCCAAGCGAAAGCGUUAAGCAUCCCACCUGGGGAGUACGCCGGCAACGGUGAAACUCAAAGGAAUUGACGGGGGCCCGCACAAGCGGAGGAACAUGUGGUUUAAUUCGAUGAUACGCGAGGAACCUUACCCGGGCUUGAAUUGCAGGAGAACGAUCCAGAGAUGGUGAGGCCCUUCGGGGCUCCUGUGAAGGUGCUGCAUGGUUGUCGUCAGCUCGUGCCGUGAGGUGUCGGCUCAAGUGCCAUAACGAGCGCAACCCCUGUCCAUAGUUGCCAUCAGGUCGUGCUGGGCACUCUGUGGAGACUGCCGCCGUAAGGUGUGAGGAAGGUGGGGAUGACGUCAAAUCAGCACGGCCCUUACGUCCGGGGCUACACACGUGUUACAAUGGGGCAUACAGCGAGUUGGAUGUGCGCAAGUACGUCCGGAUCAAUAAAGUGCCUCUCAGUUCGGACUGGGGUCUGCAACCCGACCCCACGAAGCUGGAUUCGCUAGUAAUCGCGCAUCAGCCAUGGCGCGGUGAAUACGUUCCC
This 1020-nucleotide ribosomal RNA is filed under the name uncultured bacterium. Its description in RNAcentral is "bacterial SSU rRNA". It matches the Rfam family "Bacterial small subunit ribosomal RNA", at positions 355 to 1375 of the family's 1533-position model. The record is from RNAcentral.